RNAcentral lists this ribosomal RNA (493 nucleotides) under uncultured Sphingobacteriales bacterium. RNAcentral's name for it is "bacterial SSU rRNA". It matches the Rfam family "Bacterial small subunit ribosomal RNA", at positions 888 to 1382 of the family's 1533-position model. The record is from RNAcentral. Lineage: Bacteria; Pseudomonadati; Bacteroidota; Sphingobacteriia; Sphingobacteriales.
CCCGCUCAGAAACUCAAAGGAAUUGACGGGGGCCCGCACAAGCGGUGGAGCAUGUGGUUUAAUUCGAUGAUACGCGAGGAACCUUACCUGGGCUCAAAUGUAUGUUGACGUAUUCUGAAAGGGAUACUUCUUCGGACAAUAUACAAGGUGCUGCAUGGUUGUCGUCAGCUCGUGCCGUGAGGUGUCGGGUUAAGUCCCAUAACGAGCGCAACCCCUAUCAUUAGUUGCCAUCAGGUCAAGCUGGGGACUCUAAUGAAACUGCCUACGCAAGUAGUGAGGAAGGUGGGGAUGACGUCAAAUCAGCACGGCCCUUACGUCCAGGGCUACACACGUGCUACAAUGGUCGGUACAAAGGGUUGCCAAGCCGCGAGGUGGAGCUAAUCCCAUAAAACCGAUCGUAGUCCGGAUCGCAGUCUGCAACUCGACUGCAUGAAGCUGGAAUCGCUAGUAAUCGCAGAUCAGCCAAGCUGCGGUGAAUACGUUCCCGGGCCUU